RNAcentral lists this ribosomal RNA (496 nucleotides) under uncultured bacterium. RNAcentral's name for it is "partial 16S ribosomal RNA". It matches the Rfam family "Bacterial small subunit ribosomal RNA", at positions 29 to 507 of the family's 1533-position model. The record is from RNAcentral.
AUGCACGCUGGCGGCGUGCCUCAUACAUGCAAGUCGAGCGAACAGACGAGGAGCUUGCUCCUUUGACGUUAGCGGCGGACGGGUGAGUAACACGUGGGUAACCUACCUAUAAGACUGGGAUAACUUCGGGAAACCGGAGCUAAUACCGGAUAAUAUUUCGAACCGCAUGGUUCGAUAGUGAAAGAUGGCUUUGCUAUCACUUAUAGAUGGACCUGCGCCGUAUUAGCUAGUUGGUAAGGUAACGGCUUACCAAGGCAACGAUACGUAGCCGACCUGAGAGGGUGAUCGGCCACACUGGAACUGAGACACGGUCCAGACUCCUACGGGAGGCAGCAGUAGGGAAUCUUCCGCAAUGGGCGAAAGCCUGACGGAGCAACGCCGCGCGAGUGAUGAAGGUCUUCGGAUCGUAAAACUCUGUUAUUAGGGAAGAACAAACGUGUAAGUAACUGUGCACGUCUUGACGGUACCUAAUCAGAAAGCCACGGCUAACUACGUG